Molecule: long non-coding RNA, 409 nt
Organism: Peromyscus leucopus (white-footed mouse)
Lineage: Eukaryota; Metazoa; Chordata; Mammalia; Rodentia; Cricetidae
Exons: 3
Source: RefSeq, a predicted model, not a curated record
AAUAAGUCGUGCUGGGUCCCAAUUUGCUCACUACCUGGAAGCAAUCCUGUCGUCUCUCCUUUUUAAACUCCACCAGGCUGCUCUCCAUUCUCUGCAGUAGGGCUGUUUCCUCGUUUUGUUCUUCAGCCCUGGUGCUUCCUGUGUGUGGAGGAACUGUGGUCAGCCAGCUUCCUGUCCCUGCCACCAUGCUUUCCCUGUCUGUUGCUCUGCCAGCUCCGUCAUGGUCGACUCCAUCCCUCUGCAACGGGUCCCACAAAGAUGUCAGUGCCCCCAGACAACAGGAAGCAGUCUAGAGAAUACAACGCCCACAUUCCCAAGAAGUUGGUGAGUGGUUUUUCUUCAGUCAAUGGGCUAUGGAUGUUUGUCAUUGUUUGGAGGGUGUUGGUUACAAAUUGUUAUUGGUCAUGGU